Molecule: ribosomal RNA, 477 nt
Filed under: uncultured bacterium
Lineage: Bacteria
Description: partial 16S ribosomal RNA
Rfam family: Bacterial small subunit ribosomal RNA
Source: RNAcentral
GAUGAACGCUAGCGGCGGGCCUAAUACAUGCAAGUCGAACGGGAAAGGUGGCAACACCUUGAGAGUGGCGUACGGGUGCGUAACGCGUAUACAACCUGCCUGUUACACGGGGAUAGCCUUGCGAAAGCGAGAUUAAUACCCGAUGGUACUAUUGAGCGGCAUCGCUUGGUAGUUAAAGCUGAGGCGGUAACAGAGGGGUAUGCGUCCCAUUAGCUAGUUGGUAGUGUAACGGACUACCAAGGCGACGAUGGGUAGGGGUUCUGAGAGGAUGAUCCCCCACACUGGUACUGAGAAACGGACCAGACUCCUACGGGAGGCAGCAGUAGGGAAUAUUGGGCAAUGGACGGAAGUCUGACCCAGCCACGCCGCGUGCAGGAAGAAGGUCCUCUGGAUUGUAAACUGCUUUUCUUGGGGAAGAAAACCCUUCUGCGGAAGGAAUUGACGGUACUCAAGGAAUAAGCAUCGGCUAACUCCGUG